RNAcentral lists this transfer RNA (77 nucleotides) under Kordiimonas sp. RNAcentral's name for it is "tRNA-Pro". It matches the Rfam family "tRNA". From Rfam's summary of the family: Transfer RNA (tRNA) molecules are approximately 80 nucleotides in length. Their secondary structure includes four short double-helical elements and three loops (D, anti-codon, and T loops). Further hydrogen bonds mediate the characteristic L-shaped molecular structure. tRNAs have two regions of fundamental functional importance: the anti-codon, which is responsible for specific mRNA codon recognition, and the 3' end, to which the tRNAs corresponding amino acid is attached (by aminoacyl-tRNA synthetases). tRNAs cope with the degeneracy of the genetic code in two manners: having more than one tRNA (with a specific anti-codon) for a particular amino acid; and 'wobble' base-pairing, i.e. permitting non-standard base-pairing at the 3rd anti-codon position. Lineage: Bacteria; Pseudomonadati; Pseudomonadota; Alphaproteobacteria; Kordiimonadales; Kordiimonadaceae. The record is from RNAcentral.
CGGAACGUAGCGCAGCCUGGUAGCGCACUUCACUGGGGGUGAAGGGGUCGCUGGUUCGAAUCCAGUCGUUCCGACCA